AUGAACGCUGGCGGCGUGCCUCACCCCUGCACGUCGAACGAAGCACCUUACCUGAUUCUUCGGAUGAAAGUUUGGUGACUGAGUGGCGGACGGGUGAGUAACGCGUGGGUAACCUGCCCUGUACAGGGGGAUAACAGCUGGAAACGGCUGCUAAUACCGCAUAAGCGCACGAGGAGACAUCUCCUUGUGUGAAAAACUCCGGUGGUACAGGAUGGGCCCGCGUCUGAUUAGCUGGUUGGCAGGGUAACGGCCUACCAAGGCAACGAUCAGUAGCCGGUCUGAGAGGAUGAACGGCCACAUUGGAACUGAGACACGGUCCAAACUCCUACGGGAGGCAGCAGUGGGGAAUAUUGCACAAUGGGGGAAACCCUGAUGCAGCAACGCCGCGUGAGUGAAGAAGUAUUUCGGUAUGUAAAGCUCUAUCAGCAGGGAAGAUAAUGACGGUACCUGACUAAGAAGCUCCGGCUAAAUACGUG
RNAcentral lists this ribosomal RNA (476 nucleotides) under uncultured bacterium. RNAcentral describes it as "partial 16S ribosomal RNA". It matches the Rfam family "Bacterial small subunit ribosomal RNA", at positions 29 to 507 of the family's 1533-position model. The record is from RNAcentral.